UACGUAGGGCGCAAGCGUUGUCCGGAAUUAUUGGGCGUAAAGAGCUCGUAGGCGGCCAGUUGCGUCGGGAGUGAAAAUUCACAGCUUAACUGUGAACUUGCUUCCGAUACGGGCAGACUUGAGGUAUUCAGGGGAGAACGGAAUUCCUGGUGUAGCGGUGAAAUGCGCAGAUAUCAGGAGGAACACCGGUGGCGAAGGCGGUUCUCUGGGAAUAUCCUGACGCUGAGGAGCGAAAGUGUGGGGAGCGAACAGG
RNAcentral lists this ribosomal RNA (253 nucleotides) under uncultured bacterium. RNAcentral describes it as "partial 16S ribosomal RNA". It matches the Rfam family "Bacterial small subunit ribosomal RNA", at positions 524 to 776 of the family's 1533-position model. The record is from RNAcentral.